Molecule: ribosomal RNA, 381 nt
Filed under: uncultured Halobacteria archaeon
Lineage: Archaea; Methanobacteriati; Methanobacteriota; Halobacteria
Description: bacterial SSU rRNA
Rfam family: Archaeal small subunit ribosomal RNA
Source: RNAcentral
UAAUACUAGCGGUCCAAGUCGCAGCCAUUUUUAUUGGGUCUAAAACAUCCGUAGCUUGUUUAGUAAGUUUCCUGUGAAAUUUUAUCUCUUAAAGAUAAAGCGUGCAGGAAGUACUGCCAAACUAGAGACUGGAAGACGUAAGAAGUACGACCAAAGUAGCGGUAAAAUGUUUUAAUCUUGGUUGGACUCACAAUAGCGAAGGCAUCUUACGAGGACAGUUCUGACAGUAAGGGAUGAAGGCUAGGGGCGCAAAACGGAUUAGAUACCCGUGUAGUCCUAGCAGUAAACACUGCACACUAAACAUUAGUACCUCCUCGAGAGGUAUUAGUGCUGCAGGGAAGCCGAAGAGUGUGCUACCUGGGAAGUAUAGUCGCAAGGCCG